Molecule: ribosomal RNA, 420 nt
Filed under: uncultured bacterium
Lineage: Bacteria
Description: bacterial SSU rRNA
Rfam family: Bacterial small subunit ribosomal RNA
Source: RNAcentral
GAAUUUUGGACAAUGGGGGCAACCCUGAUCCAGCCAUGCCGCGUGAGUGAAGAAGGCCUUCGGGUUGUAAAGCUCUUUCAGCCGGGAAGAAAACGUGGUCUCUAACAUAGGCCAUGGAUGACGGUACCGGAAGAAGAAGCACCGGCUAACUACGUGCCAGCAGCCGCGGUAAAACGUAGGUCCCGAGCGUUAUCCGGAUUUACUGGGCGUAAAGCGCGUUCAGGCGGUGGGCUCAGUCGGGCAUGAAAGCUCUCGGCUCAACCGGGAGAGGUUGUCCGAUACUGGCCCACUUGAGGGCAGUAGAGGGUGGUGGAGUUCCGGGUGUAGUGGUGAAAUGCGUAGAGAUCCGGAGGAACACCAGUGGCGAAGGCGGCCACCUGGACUGCCCCUGACGCUGACACGCGAAAGCUAGGGGAGCGA